This 782-nucleotide ribosomal RNA is filed under the name Australozethus tasmaniensis montanus. RNAcentral's name for it is "eukaryotic LSU rRNA". It matches the Rfam family "Eukaryotic large subunit ribosomal RNA", at positions 402 to 938 of the family's 3401-position model. The record is from RNAcentral. Lineage: Eukaryota; Metazoa; Arthropoda; Insecta; Hymenoptera; Vespidae.
AAACCGUUCAGGGGUAAACCUGAGGAACCCGAAAGAUCGAAUGGGGAGAUUCAGCGUACAGCGGCGCUGGCUCGGGCGGAACUGGCGAUGUCACGGACCACGGUAUCGUGACACGUUACGGCCAUCGCGCGUCUGGCGUCGUCGUCGUGCACUUCUCCCCUAGUAGAACGUCGCGACCCGUUGGGUGCCGGUCUACGGUCCGAGUGGUAGACUGUCGCGUCGCUUUGGCGCACGCGACAGACCCUCGAUCGCCCGGCCGGCCGCCCGGCGGUAGAGUUAUAGGUAUCUGGCCGCAAAUUCGAACUGCGUCGGGACCGCCGCAAGCGCGGCCAGUGACCCGGAGGCACGGACCUGGUGCCGUCCCCGGGCCUGGCCAGCUGUUGGCAGGCGGAGUCCUUAGACGGGCCGUAUUCGAAAGGGAUACCGGUCGGCGACGCUACUGCUUUGGGUACUCUCAGGACCCGUCUUGAAACACGGACCAAGGAGUCUAACAUGUGCGCGAGUCAUUGGGACUGCAAAGCCUAAAGGCGCAAUGAAAGUGAAGGUCGACCUCGCGUCGACCGAGGGAGGAUGGGCCGCGUUACGACGCGGCUCCGCACUCCCGGGGCGUCUCGUUCUCAUUGCGAGAAGAGGCGCACCCAGAGCGUACACGUUGGGACCCGAAAGAUGGUGAACUAUGCCUGGUCAGGACGAAGUCAGGGGAAACCCUGAUGGAGGUCCGUAGCGAUUCUGACGUGCAAAUCGAUCGUCGGAACUGGGUAUAGGGGCGAAAGACUAAUCGA